GCACAAGCGGUGGAGCAUGUGGAUUAAUUCGAUGCAACGCGUAGAACCUUACCUGGGUUUGACAUGGAUCGGGAGUGCUCAGAGAUGGGUGUGCCUCUUUUGGGGUCGGUUCACAGGUGGUGCAUGGCUGUCGUCAGCUCGUGUCGUGAGAUGUUGGGUUAAGUCCCGCAACGAGCGCAACCCUUGUUCACUGUUGCCAGCACGUUAUGGUGGGGACUCAGUGGAGACCGCCGGGGUCAACUCGGAGGAAGGUGGGGAUGACGUCAAGUCAUCAUGCCCCUUAUGUCCAGGGCUUCACGCAUGCUACAAUGGCUGGUACAGAGAGUGGCGAGCCUGUGAGGGUGAGCGAAUCUCGGAAAGCCGGUCUCAGUUCGGAUUGGGGUCUGCAACUCGACCUCAUGAAGUCGGAGUCGCUAGUAAUCGCAGAUCAGCAACGCUGCGGUGAAUACGUCCCGGGC
This 458-nucleotide ribosomal RNA is filed under the name uncultured bacterium. RNAcentral describes it as "bacterial SSU rRNA". It matches the Rfam family "Bacterial small subunit ribosomal RNA", at positions 923 to 1379 of the family's 1533-position model. The record is from RNAcentral.